AUACUGCCGGAACUGUGGCUAAUGGUGCGGACCACCCUGCUCACUGUUAGCAAAGUGGGUAGCUACCCUCUCUUCUGGAAGCCCCUCUGCAGCACUCCUCUUGGGAGUAGAAAAGGAAGUGGUCAAGGUAAGGAGAUCGCUGACUGGACGUGCAGCUCCAAUCCUCCUAGCUUCCCACCUGGCAUAGGGCACUCUCUGCCUGGGUCCGUUCUUCUUCCCUCUGGGCCUGGAUGGCCUCCAUUUCUGUCUGCUGCUCCUUUAGCCUCAUUUCCAGCUCCAUUUUUUCCCUUUCUAAGCUCUCCAGAGCCUUUGCCAGCUCCUGCUGGUGCCAGGAGCGCUCCUUCUCCUGGCCACAUGAAGGAAACACCAUUAGAACCAAAUGGGUGAGGAGGGGAGGCAGGGGUACUGGAUUGGAAAAACAAAGUCUCUCUACUACUCACUAGUGGGGUGACCUUGGUACCUCUCUAAGCCUGUUGCCUCAUCUGUAAAGCAAGGCUAAUAUUCCCUGCCUUAUCUAUCUUACCAAAUUUCAUGACAACCAAAUGAGAUUCAUUUUAAAAAAUAAAAUUAUAUAAUACAUGUGGAAGUACCUUCCAAACUGCAAUUGUCCCUUAUAUAUGCUACAAGUAUCUGGGUUUUAAAAUGUAUUUCUAUUUUUAAUUUUUUUUUGGAGACGGAGUCUUGCCCUGUCACCCAGGCUGGACUGCAGUGGCACGAUCUCCGCUCACUGCAACCUCCACCUUUCAGGUUCAAGUGAUUCUCCUGUCUCAGCCUCCCUAGCAGCUGGGACUACAGGUGCCCCCCACCAUGCCCAGCUAAUUUUUGUAUUUUUAGUAGAGAUGGGGUUUCAACAUGUUGGCCAGGCUGGUCAUGAACUCCUGACCUCAAGUGAUCUGCCUGCCUCGGCCUCCCAAAGUGCUGGGAUUAUAGGCAUGAGCCACUGUGCCUAGCCUAGGCAUUCUUAUUUUUAGAGAUGGGGUCUCACUAUGUUGCCCAGGCUGGACUCGAACUCCUGGGCGCAAGUGGUCCUCCUGCCUCAGCCUCCUGAGUAGCUAAGAACACAGGGGCAUGACACCACACACAGCUCCGUAUUUGUUAUCUUUAAAGCAGCCACAUUGUGGUUGACAGUUGUAACAAUGAACUGAGGCGGCCAAUUCUGGCUGUCUGCUGCCUGCUCUCCUCUACUCAGAGUUGCAGAGUUAGCCCCUGAAGAAUCAGGCCUGGCCCAGUGAGGAUGUCUCCCUGUAUUAUAUAAGAGCAUUAGGAUAGGGGUGCUUCUUGUCUUAGCGGUCUUCCAGCAACCAAAGCUUUCCCAAGCUCUCUGACUAGUUCAGGACCCUCUAUUAGGUGUACAGGAUAGAGGUGAAGGGCUCUGGAGUUGGGCUGCCUGGGUGGAGAAUCUUUAAUCUACCACUACUAGCAUGAUCUCAAUUUCUAAACAACUCUGUGCCUCAGUUUCUUCAUCUAUUAAAAUGGGGAUAACAACAGUGUCAUUCUCCUCAGGUUGUAUUGAGGAUGGAGAUAAGUCAUGUGAAUCACUUUAAAUGUGCGUAGCACACAGAAAGCGGGCAAUACACAACAGCCAGCAUCAUCAUCACAUUAGUAUUCCCUGCACUUUUCCUUUAAAAUGCUUGUAAGUUUGUCGUUGCUUAUUCAUGUAAUGGGAACGCCUCUAGUGUUUCAGCCUUCCCAGUGUCAUCCUGUGCAGCUUUCCCCCUCAUUCACUACACCCUGGCUACACACACUUGCCUCCUUGCAGGUCCUUGAGCACACUAAGCACUUUUUUUUUUUUUUUGAGACAGAGUCUCACUCUAUCGCCCAGGCUGGAGUGCAGUGGGGUGAUCUCGGCUCACUGCAACCUCUGCCUCCCAAGUUCAAGUGAUUCUCCCGCCUCAGCCUCCCAAGUAGCUGGGAUUACAGGCGCCCGCCACCACUCCCAGCUAUUUUUUUUGUAUUUUUAGUAGAGACAUGGUUUCACCACGUUGGCCAGGCUGGUUUUGAACUCCUAACCUCAAGUGAUCUGCCCGCUUAGGCCUCCCAAAGUGCUAGGAUUACAGGUGUGAGCCACUGCACCCAGCCAACAUGUUCAUGCCUUAGAGCCUUUACUCAUGCUUCCUUCUACCUGGAAAGCCCUUCUCCCCCCUACUCCAUCAUUCCUCACGCCUAAACUAACACUUCCUUGGUGAAGCCUUCCCAGACCAUACAAUUGACAGUGGUCUGGCUGGACGUGGUAGUUCACAUAUAUUAUCCCAACAUUUUGCGAGGCCGAGGUAGGAUGAUCACUUGAGCCCAAGAGUUUGAGACCAGCCUAGGCAACAUGGUGAAACCCCUUAUCUACAAAAAAUGCAAAAAUUAGUCAGGUGUGGUGGUUCACUCCUGUGGUCCCAGCUACUUGGGAGGCUGAGGUAGGAGGAUCACUUGAGCCCAGGAGGGCCUUGAGGGUGAGGCUGCCGUUAAGCCCUGAUCACGCCACUGCACUCCAGCCUGGGCAACAGAGCAAGACCCUGUCUCAAAAGAAAUAAUAAUAAUAAAAAGAAAAAAAAGAGGUCUUCCUUUGUUCUUCCUUAUAAAACCCGGCAAUGUGUAAUGUCAGUUACAGGACAGUCAUGAAUGACAAAUCAUUUUACCCUCUGGUUCAAAAAGCCAAAGACAGCGGGUAUAGCUCAGUGGCAGAGUAUGUGACUGCAAAAAGCCAAAGCCAACUGUAAAAAUAUGAAAAAGAUGAAUGUUAAUAGCAGUUGCAAGUGUUAAAAAAACUGAUCUAUUUGCUCUAUGUGAGUUAGAAGUGUGUUAUAGCUACAAGAAGAGCUAAUUCUGUGAUGUGUAGGAAGUAACAGUCCAGCAUUGCUGGUAUGACCAUGAACAGAAUAUUCUGCCCAGUUCAAAGUGCCACCUUUACACCACUGGGACAUGAGUAAAUUGUAACAUGCCUAGAAGAAAGCAACCAUGUUGGUGGGGUAUUUCAAGCAAAUCUAAGGCUCAUUUGUUCCUGGUAAUAGGUUUUGGUUCAACAUGAAUUUCCUAAUAACUAGAUCUAUCUAAAAUAAAUGGGCAGCCAAGUGAUGGAAUACAAUAGCAGCUAAGCAACCAUUUGGAAGGGACAUUACAGAGGUGGAUAAAAAAGAAAUGGUUAGGAGUUUGGGCCCUGAAUCCCUUUUCUACCCCUUAUUAGCCAUGUAACCCUGACUUCUCUUUUUAUAUUUUAUUUAUUUAGAGAUGGGGAUCUUGCUAUGUUGCCCAGGCUGGUCUCGAACUCCUGGCCUCUAGCGAUCCUUUCGCCUUGGCCUCCCAAAUUGUUGGAAUUACAGGUGUGAGCCACCACGCCCAGCCCUGAGUGACUUCUCCAUGCAUUUAUUCACCUUUAUUGUGUGAAUAAAGCAUUCAGCAUGGUGCUUGGCAUGGGGAGGUGCUUAACAAGUGUCCAAUAUCAUUACUCUUAAAGGGGAGACAGACAGUAGAUGGAAGAAUAAAGAAUACAACUGCCAAGAGUGUUUCUUUUUCUUUUUUUUCUUUGAGACAGAGUCUCACUCUGUUGCCCAGGCUGGAGUGCAGUGGUGCGAUCUUGGCUCACUGCAACCUCCACCUCCCUGGUUCAAGCAAUUCCCCUGCCUCAACCUCCCAAGUAGCUGGGAUUACAGGUGCAUGCCACCACGCCUGGCUAAUUUUUUUGUAUUUUUAGUAGAGACGGGGUGUCACCAGGUUGGCCAGACUGGUCUCAAACUCCUGACCUUGGGCAAUCCGCCCACCUCGGCCUCCCAAAGUGCUGGGAUUACAGGUGUGAGCCACCACGCGCGGCCUCCCAAGAGUGCUUCUAAUUGCCAGGAUUCCAGGAGAAGGCAGUCACUGCUAAAACGAACAGGCUGUCGAGAGUUUUAAGAGGGCAGUUGACCUGCUCAAUCAUAGAGAAAUAAUAAAGUGGGACAAUCAGAAGUCAGGAGGAUUAGCUGAAUGACAGAAAAGGAAAAGAGAGAAAAGGCCCUUUCAUGACCCAGAUAUGGCCACUAUAGUCAAUCCUUUUAGGGAAACCAAGGCCACGUAGGUAGCUGGCUUAUCAUUCAGAAGUUUUAUAGCAUCUUUUAUUUAUGGAGUUUUCAGUACAUGGUAUACAUCUGAUUCCUGCUAGAAUCAGUGUUCAUUCAACAAAUACUUUUAAGCACCGACUAUAGACUAGGCACAGAAUUCCAAAAAUAAGCAAACUUCUGGUUAUCAUCUUGCCAAUAAGCCUGCCUCAUAAUAACAAUCAAAUUACAAAUACACAUAAAGCACAAGUCAACUUCCAUUUCCAGAUACUUGAUAAACAAGAUCUCUGAACCCUCCAGCUACGAAAUCGCAAAAAAUGCUGGAUAAAAUAUUAAAUAUGUAUUUUAAUGUAUCACAGAACCAGCAGGAAAAUAAUAAAAAUUCCACAGAAGCCAAAAGCAAAGCAAGACUUGUGGUGUAGGCCAGGUGUGGUAGUUCAUACCUAUAAUCCCAGCAGUUUGGGAGGCUGUGGCAGGAGGAUUGCUUGAAGCUAGGAGUUCAAGACCAGCCUAGGCAACAAAGUGAGAUCACAUCUCUACCAAAAAAAAAAAAAAUUAGCCAGGCAUGAUGGUGCAUGCCUGUAGUCCUAGCUAGUCUGGAGGCUGAGGCAGAAGGAUUGCUUAAGCCCAGGAGCUUGAAGCUUCAGUGAGCUAGAGUUGUACAGUGCAGUUGUACAACUGCACUCCAGCCUGGGCAAUAGCAAGACCUUGUCUUGAGGUCAGGAGUUCGAGACCAGCCUGGCUGAUGUGGUGAAACCCAGUGUCUACUAAAAAUGCAAAAAUUAGCCAGGUGUGGUAGCAUGCGCCUGUAAUCCCAGCUACUUGGGAGGCUGAAGCACGAGAAUUGCUUGAACCCAGGAGGCGGAGCUGAAACAGCACCACUGCCUGUGCAACAGAGCAAGACUGUGUCUCAAAAAAAAAAAAAAAAAAGUAAAUCCACUAUCUUUCACCCAAUGCAAAUGUAAUUCAGAAUUUAAAAUAAAAAUAAAAAUAAGCCAGGUGGCUGGGCGUGGUGGCUCACGCCUGUAAUCCCCAGCACUUUGGGAGGCCAAGGUGGGCAGAUUACCUGAGCCCAGGAGUUCAAGACCAGCCUGGGUAACAUGACGAAACCCCAUCUCUAUAAAAAAAAAAAAAAAAAAAACUUAGCCAGGCAUGGUGGUUCAUGCCUGUGGUCCCAGCUACUCAGGAGGCUGGAGAGGAUCACUUGAGCCCGUGAGGUAGAGGCUGCAGUGAGCCAUGAUUGUACCAUUGCACUGUAGCCUGAGUGACAGAGCAAGACCCUGUCUCAAAAAAAAAAAAAAAAAAAAAAAAAAAAAAAGCCAGGCAGACGCUGUAGUCCUAGCUACUUAGGAGGCUGAGGCAGGAAGAUCACUUGAGCCUGGGAGUUUGAGGCUGCAGUGAGCUAUGAUUGUGCCACUAUACUCUAGCCUGGGUGACCAGAGCAAGACCUUAUCUCUAAACAAAACAAGCAAACAAACAAAAAUCUGGACUGGGGUUAACAAAUUAUAGUAUGUGGACCAAAUCUGGCUCACCACCUGUUGCUCUCUGGCUAUGAGCUAAGAGUGGUUUUUACUUUUUUUUUUUUUUUUUGAGACAGAGUCUCACUCUGUCGCCCAGGCUGGAGUGCAAUGGUGCGAUCUUGGCUCACUGCAACCUCCACCUCUCAGGUUCAAGCGAUUCUCCUGUUCAGCCUCCCAAGUAGCUGGGACUACAGGCAUGUGCCACCACACCCGGCUAAUAUUUUUGUAUUCUUAGUAGAGAUGGAGUUUCACCAUGUUGGCCAGACUGGUCUUGAACUCCUGACUUCAGGUGAUCCGGCCACCUAGGCCUCCCAAAGUGCUGGGAUUACAGGCGUAAGCCACUGCGCCCAGCCUUUACCUUUUUUUUUUUUUUUUUUUUAAAGAGAUAGGGUCUUGCUAUGUUGCCCAGGUUGGUCUCAACCAAUCGUCCUGCCUCAGCCUCCCAAAGUGGUGGGAUUAUAGGCAUGAGCCACUGCACCCAGCCUUUACAUUUUUAAUGGUAGAAAACAAUAAUGUUUUGUGACAUGCGAAAAUUAUAUGAAAUUCUCAUUUCAGUAUCUAUACAUAAAGUUUUAUCUGAGCACAGUCAUGCUCAUUUGUUUAUAUAUGGCUGCUUUGCACUACAAUUGCAAAGUUAGAUAAUUGUAACAGAGACCAUAUGGUCUGCAAAGCCUAGCAUAUAGUCCUUAACAAAAAGCCAGACAUGGUGGACUGUGCCUGUGGUCCCAGCUACUCAGGAGGCUGAGACAGGAGGAUCCCUUGAGCCCAGGAGUUCAAGAUCAGACUGAGCAACAUAGUGAUAGUCCAUCUCUAGAAAGAAAAAAAAAAAUGCCUAUCUCUGGGCUGUAGUGACCUCAGCUUAAGGGGGAAAAGGCAAAAAGAAGGAGGACAUGGGGAGGAAGGGAGAAAAAGAGAAACUGGAGGGAUGUGGAGAGGGGACAAAACAAAAUAAACUCUAUAGAAGGAAAUUAUCAAGGAAAUAUGCUUAUCUCAACUUUGAUACAGGGUAGGAAAAAAGUCUCCUCUGAAAAUUCAUAACCACAAGCUGAGCUGCACAUGGGGUCUGGGCCUGACUGUGGGUCAAAAAACUUUAAACAGAAAAUUUACUUUAAGGUGGUCCUGGGAUGCUAGUCCUCCAGCUUCCUGACAGAAGCACAAAUCCUCUGAGGAAAAACUCCUUUGCCUCAGGCCUAAAAAGAUUCCCACAGAAAACCUUCCUCAGAACAAAGGUCUCUGGGGGAAAAAAGAAAAAAAGAAAAAAGAAAAAAAAAGGAAAAUUUCCAAAGACAUGCUCAUAGACAAGAAUCACAAAAACACAGGGAAACAAGCCCAUGAGUAAGAGCCAACAGAAACAACAAAUUACAGAACUAGACCCCAAAACGUUAAUUAAAAGUUAUUGGAAUUACUAGACAGGACACAAGUAUGUUUCAUAUGUUUAAAAGAAUGGACUGAAAAUACAAAUUAGGGAAAACAGACUGAAAAAAAUGACCAAGAAGAUAUGAAAAAAUAACCAAAUAAAAUAUCUAGAAAUAAAAAAUUUAAAAAGUGAAAUUUAAAACUUGGUGAAUAGAAUAAACAUCAGAUUCGACACAGCUGAAAAGGAAAAUCAGUAACUAGAUGAGAGAUCUGAAAAAAAUAAUCCAGAACACAGCAUACAAAGAGAAAAGUAAACAUGUAAAAUGCAAGAGGCAGUGAAGAUACAUGAAGGAUAGAGUAAAAAGGUCUGACAUACAACUAACCAGAGUACAGAAAGAGAGAAGAAAGUAGGAAAAGAGCCAGGUAUGGUGGCGUGCACCUGUAGUCCCAGCUUAUGUGGGAGGCUGAGGCAAGAGGACAGCUUGAGCCCAGGAGUUCGAGACCAGCCUGGAUAACAUAGCAAGACCCAUCUCUAAAAAAAAAAAAAAUUAAAAUUAAAAUUAAAAAAUUAGCUGGGCAUGGUGGCAUGUGCCUGUAGUUGCAGUUCGUCGGAGGCUGCGGCAGGAGGACUCACUUGAGCUCAGGAGUUUGAGGCUGCAGUGAGCUAUGAUUGUAUCAUUAUACUCCAGCCUGGGUAACAGAGCAAGACCCUGUCUCUAAAAAAUAAAAUAAAAUAAAUUUAAAAAAAAAAAUUUUUUUUUUUUUUUGAGACGGAGUUUCGUUCUUGUUGCCCAGGCUGGAGUGUAAUGGCGCGAUCUCAGCUCAUCGCAACCUCCACCUCCCAGGUUCAAGCGAUUCUCCUGCCUCAGCCUCCCUAAUAGCUAGGAUUACAGACAUGUGCUACCACACUCGGCUAAUUUUGUAUAUUUAGUAGAGACGGGGUUUCUCCAUGUUGGUCAGGCUGGUCUCGAACUCCUGACCUCAGGUGAUCCGCCCACCUCAGCCUCCCAAAUUACUGAGAUUACAGGCAUGAGCCACUGCAAUUGGCCAAAAAAAAAUUUAUUUUAAAGAGUAAAUAAAUAAAAGCAGGACAGUAGGAAAGAGGUAAUAUUGAAGAGAUAAUAUAUAAGAAUUUUCCAGAAUUGAUAUUUCAACAUGAAAUCUUAAAUUCAGGAUGUCUAAGAAAUUCCAACCAAAUAAAAGAAAUACACAUCUAAACACAAGAAAUUGCCAGGCGUGGUCUCACGCCUUUAAUCCCAGCCCUUUGGGAGGCCGAGGUGGGUGGAUCACUUGAGCCCAGGAGUUUGAGACCAGCCUGGGCAACAUGGUGAAACCCCAUCUCUACUAAAAAUACAAAAAAAUUAGCUGGGCAUGGUGGUACGUGCCUGUAAUCCCAGCUACUCUAGAGGCUGAGGCAGAAGAACUGCAUGAACUCAAGAGGUGGAAGUUACAGUGAGCCGAGAUUGCACCACUGCACUCAAGCCUGGGUGACAGAGCAAGACUCUGUCUCAAAAAAAUAAAAAAUAAAAAAAAAUAUAAAAAAAUAAAUAGCCGGGCACGGUGGCUCACGCCUGUAAUCCCAGCACUUUGGGAGGCCGAGGCGGGUGGAUCAUGAGGUCAGGAGAUCGAGACCAUCCUGGCUAACACGGUGAAUACAAAAAAUUUUUGUAUUUACUAAAAAUACAAAAAAUUAGCCGGGCAUGGUGGUGAGCGCCUGUGGUCUCAGCUACUUGGGAGGCUGAGGCAGGAGAAUGGCGUGAACCCAGAGGCGGACCUUGCAGUGAGCCAAGAUUGCGCCACUGCACUCCAGCCUGGGCAACAGAGCGAGACUCCGUCUCAAAAAACAAACAAACAAAAAAAUAAUAAUAAACACAAGAAACUGUGGAAUGAUUAAAAUGAAAGCUAACUUCUCAAUACCAACAAUGUUGAGAGAAAAUAAUUGUCAUCCUAGAAACUUAUAUCUGAAUGUUUUACUUAGUGAAUCUAUCUAUCUAUCUAUCUAUCUAUCUAUCUAUCUAUCUAUCUAUCUAUCUAUCUAUUUUUUAAGCCUGAACAAAGCCAGAAACUAUCUUUCAAGAAUAAAAGUAGGCUGGACAUGGUGGCUCACCUCUGUAAUCCCAACACUUUGGGAGGCCAAGGGCGGGUGGAUCGCUUGAGCCCAGGAGUUUGAGACCAGCCUGGGCAACAUGGUGAAACCCUGUCUCUACCAAAAAUAAAAUUAGCUGGGUGUGAUGGCAUAUGCCUAUAAUCCCAGCUACUUGGGAGGCUGAGGUGGGAGGAUCACCUGAGCCCAGGAGGCCAAGGCUGCAGUAGGCCAUGAUCACAUGACUGCACUCCAGUCUAGGCGACAGAGUGAGACCCUGCCUCAAUAAAAGAAUAAAAAUAAAAUAGAAACAUCUUCAGACAAUUAACUACCAACAGACCCUUACCAAAGAAAAUCCUACUUCAGGCAAAAAAAAAAAAAAAAAAUCUGAAUAGAAAGUCUGACAUGCAAGAAGGUAUGGUGAACAGAAAAGGUAUCAAUUCGUUGUAUCUGAACAAAUAUUGACUGUAUAAAACAAUAAAAAAAUCAUAAUUUGUGGUGUUAAACUAGUUAGAACUGAACACACUGAACAAAAUAGCCUAUAAAUUAGGGAGCAGUGAAACAAGUAAAAUGUUCUUUUUUGCUUUUGAGACAGGGUCUCACUCUGUCACUCAGGCUGGAGUGCAGUGGUGCUCAGCUCACCACAGCCUCAACCUCCUAGGCUCAAGUGAUCCUCCCACCUCAGCCUCCCAAGUAGCUGGGACUACAGUGUGUACCACCAUGCCUGGCUAAUUUUUGUAUUUUUUUUUGUAGGGAAUGGGGUUUCGCCGUGUUGUCCAGGCUGGUCUCAAACUCCUGGGCUCAAGCAAUCUGCCCACCUCAGCCUCCCAAAGUGCUGAGAUGACAGGCAUGAGCCACUGUCCCUGGCCCAGGUAAAAUGUUCUAAGACCCUUGUAUCGUUCAGGAAAAGGGUAAAACUACUGAACCUUGAGAUUUUAUUAAGUAUAUGUUUAAAAAUAUUAAAGGUAACCACUAACAGGAUUUUUAAAAUAAAGUAUAUAUCAUCCACAGUUGCAGAGAGAAAAAAGAGGUGAGAAAAGAAUACAACUUAAUCACCCAACUUAAUCCUCUAAAAGAAGUUAAGAAAGGAGAUUUCCCCUCCCUAAAAGAUAUAAAAAUGGCCAGGCACAGUGGCUCACAGCUGUACCCUGCACUUUAGGAGGCUGAGGCAGGUGGAUCACGAGGUCAGUUUGAGACCAGCCUGGCCAACAUGGUGAAACCCCAUCUCUACUAAAAAUACAAAAAUUAGCCAGAUGUGGUGGCACACACCUGUAAUCCCAGCUACUUAGGAGACUGAGGCAGGAGAAUCGCUUGAACCCAGGAGGCGGAGGUUGCAGUGAGCCAAGAAUGCACCACUGUACUCCAGCCUGAGGGACAGAGUGAGACUGUCUCAAGGAAAAAAAAAAAAAAAAAAGAUAUAAAAAAGCAAGACAAAUAACAUAAGAUGGCACAAAUAAAUCCAAAUACACCUAAAACCACAAUAAAACCAAAUGGACUAAAUUACAUUAUUAAAAGACAAAACACAGUUCUGAACUGCACAAGAAUGCAUCCAAGAUAUUCCUCUCCCCCGUUUUCAUCCUGAGGCCAGUUUAAUAAUCCUAAAUCCCAGGGUCCACUCUCAAUUCUCUGUACACACCAACACAACAACAAUAAUAAUGGCUAACACAUAUAGGGAGCCCACCACAUGCUAGGAACUACUCUUAGUGCUUUUCAUAUAUUAACUCAUUUAAUAGCAGGAAGUUGGAUUUUACAGCUUGGUUACAAAAUUUCACUCAUACGAGCAGCAAUAACUGGACCAAGAGGCAGCAGGUAGAGCACUCAUGGAAGGGAGGCCAUACCCGGCCACAUUGACCACUUACCCAUUUCUCCCGGAGCUGGUUCACCUCUUUCUCAUGGGCUGCCUUCUGCUGCUCCAAGGCAGUCUUCCCUUCUUGCUCAGCCUGGGCCAGCUGUCUGGCUGCAGCAUCCCGCUCCUGCUCUGCCUGACUCCGUUCAGUGUCCAGUUCCAGCUUCAGGCACCUCACUUCCCCUAACAUGCCAGGGACAGGAUCAGGCCUCCGCCCCCUCCUUUUACCUAAUAAAAUUCUCCCUCUCCCCUGACCUCAUGAGCAACUCCCAUCUCAGAGGCCCUGCACCCUGCUGGAGAAGGACCUCUAAUAGUCUCCCACCAUCUUCCUGCCUUUCAACAUCUCCAUGGAAUGGAGUGCAUCCCAUCCCAGUUGGGUUCUCACCUUGGAUUACUUCCUUGGCUUGAGUGACAGUUUGAAUCUGGACCUCCAGCUGCCCCUUGGUGACCUCUAUCACAGAAUUUUGUUGUUGGGCUUCAAACAGACUGCUCUCCAGUAGCUCCUUGGCUGAGCUGUGAGGUUCAGGAAUCAGAAGAGUUUCUUACCCAUCAAGCCCCUUACCCUUCCUCAAGAGGAGCUGGGUUCUAAGUAUUGGCUACCUGGAGAAGUUAGGGGGGCAAUUAUAAAUUCAUAAUCAAUUUAGGACCUGCAUACUUAUGGCAGGGAGCUUAGCUUCACGCCUUUGCCUUGCAAAGCUCUCUCUGUGCUUGGCUGAACUGAGUCUGGGCCCUACCUGAGCCCCUGUAGUUGUUCAGCGAGGUCCUGCCGGUCACGCUCCACGGCCUGCAGCCGCACCUCUAGAGCCGCUUUCUCUCGUACUAGGGCCUCCUUCUCCUGGACUGCCCUGGCAAGCACUUCUUCCUGUCGCUUUGCCUCCUGAUGUAGCUGCUCCAGCUGAGUCGUGGCUGCCUCCUGCUGGUGACGUGACUGAGGGGAAGAAUGUGGUGAGAGAUGGAGCAGAGGCUGGAUUCCCCUGGGGCCGCUACCACCAGGUUAGGGUCAUUGCCUCUUCAGAGAUUCUGGACCCAGCUCUGUGAGCCCGGAUUGCUUACCCAAUAGCACGUGGCAUUUAUCUAUUUCCCUGAUCCGCCCACAGAGCCCCCAGCCCAGGAAGAAUGCUCCCCUGUGAGCAAGACCCUGUGCUAGGGACAGCAGAAGACCUGCCCCUAAGGAGGUUUUGGCCUUGAGAAGAUGCACACAUAAUACUGGGAAGAAAGUCAUCAAUGUCCCGAGAAAGGGACUCUGUGAAGGGAGAGUCCGUACAAUUAUUAGGACAAUGAGAGGUUUUGUAGAGGAGAAAGAUGACCUUUGAGCCAGGUCAUUCAUUGGCUCAGGAAAAAAAUUUACUUGGCCCCUGUUAUGUGGUAGGCACUAUGCUAAAAGCUGGAGAAAUAAAAACAAAUAAGAUAUAGCUUUGCCUUCAAGGAGCUUUUGGUCUAAUGGUAGAGACAUAUAAACAGAUAAUUAUAGCAUGAGGAAUGUGGUAGUUAAAAUAAGCAUGAGGUGCUAUCAGAGUAUAAGGAGAAGCUUCUAAUUCAAACUGGGUGGUGUGAAUGAAGUAGUGGAGAAUCAGUGAAGAAUUCUUUUUGUUUUUUUGAGCAGUGUCGCUCUGUCAUCCAGGUUGGAGUGCAGUGGCGCAAUCUCGGCUCACUGCAACCUCCGCCUCCCAGAUUCAAGAGAUUCUCCUGCCUCAGCCUCCCGAGUAGUUGGGAUUACAGGCAUGUGCCACCAUGCCGGGCUAAUUUUUGUAUUUUUAGUAGAGACAGGGUUUCACUAUGUUGGUCAGGCUGGUCUCGAACCUCUGACCUCGUGAUCCGCCCGCCUCGGCCUCCUAAAGUGCUGGGAUUACAGGCAUGAGCCACUGCGCCCAGCCUCAGUGAAGAAUUGUUAUAGGCAUUCUUUUUUAAAAUUGGAAGAUAUACUGCAAACUAGUAACACUGGUCAUUUCUAGGAAGUAAGACUUUUUCACUUUCCAGAUAAUUUCUGUAGUGUUUUAAUUUUUUAUAAUGAGCAUAUAUUACACCUAGACAUGAUGGUGUCCAUUUUGGCUUCUCACCUCACUUAGUUUCUUUUGAAUUUCUUCCUUCUCUUCUUGGAUGUCCCUGAGAUCUGCCUGCAGCUCAGCCCCAGCCUCCUCAGCUUUCUGCAGCUGAGCCUCCAGGUGAGUGUUCUUUUCCCACAGGGCUUCCCUCCUCUUCUCUGCCUCCGCCAGGUCGACCUGCAAAGCAUUUCUCGCCUGCUCUGCGGCCUCCAUUCUGCUGCACACAGACUGGUUCUCCUCCUCUAACUACUGGCCAAAAAGGGAAGGGAGUACAAGCAUCAAAGACAAAUGGUUAGUUUAGGAAUCAAAUGCUAAGACUGAAAUCCAAGUGAGAUAUGAAUCUAUUCUCCAAAGAUGAACAAAGGAGUGUUUAUAAGAUGGGGGAAAAUCCAUUCAUUUGAUCUAGUGCCUAUAUUCCAGGUACUAGAUGGGCUGGAUGCUGGGGACGGAGAUAUGCAAGGCAAAGUCCUGCUCUCAAAUAAUUCAGAAUAAUGGAAUAGAGAACACUCAAGGAAACAGAGAUUGCAAGGAGGUUCCCUCGCUAUAAUUAUAGGUUAAAUUUAUAACCUAUAGAAAAGAUUCUUUGGGACUUAGGCUCUUCAGCAGAUUCUUUUCUGGUGAUUGCUAUUAUCUCACCCAACAGGAUUAACAACCUAGACUUAGGCCGGGUAUGGUGGCUCAUGCCUGUAAUCCCAGGACUUCAGGAGGCUGAGGUGGAUGGAUCACCUGAGGCCAGGAGUUCAAGAUCAGCCUGGCCAACAUGGUGAAACCCCAUCUCUACUAAAAAUACAAAAACUAGCCCAGGGCAGCCAAGUGUGGUGGCUCACGCCUGUAAUCCUAGCACUUUGGGAGGCUGAGGCAGGUGGAUCACCUGAGGUCAGGAGUUUGAGAACAGCCUGACCAACAUUGUAAAACCCUGUCUCUAUUAAAAAUACAAAAUUAGCCAGGCAUGGUGGUGCAUGCCUGUAAUCCCAGAUAUUCAGGAGGCUGAGGCAAGAGAAUUGCUUGAACCCGGGAUGCAGAGGUUGCAGCGAGCCAAGAUCGUGCCACUGUACUCCAGCCUGGGCAACAAGAGCAAAACUCCAUCUCAAAAAAAAAAAAUUAGCCAGGUGUGGUGACACAUGCCUGUAAUCCCAGCUACUCAGGAGGCUGAGGCAGGAGAAUUGCUUGAACCCAGGAGAUGAAAACUGCAGUUAGCUAAGAUCGCACCACUGCACUCCAGCCUAGGUGACAGAGGGAGAUCCAUCUCAAGAAAACCCCAGCAAAAAACCUAGUCUUCCUUCCAGAGGACAUGGGCCCCUUCCCAACCUUGGUGUCUUACCCUGAAGUCCAGAGGUGGUUCUGCUGGAGGUGUGGGAGGGGAAUAUUUAUAAUGGCUAAGCCCAAUCCUUACAGUCUUUGCUCUCCUCUGCAUUGUAAAUGUUCCUUUUGCUCAUUUCAGACCUACAUUUGGGAGCUGAUCCGUCUUGCUCUCAGUUAGGGCCCAGCCCUUCUGUGGGGACCAGGAAAAUCUUUGCUCACCUGGAGAAGCUGCUGGUUCAGCCCAACUUUAUCUAACGCCAAAGCCUCAUUUAAGGCACUGAGCUUGACAGCUGCAGCCCGAAGAUCAGCUACUUCUGUCUUCAGGGUGUUUUCAGAACUCGACAGCUCUGCAAUUGACUGCUCUGCCUAAAAAACAAAAAGGAUUAAAGAGUUUCAUAUUUCCAAUUUUCCUGGAACAGUAAACAGUUCACAUUCCCAACACUGCUGCUUUUUGGUACAGAGAUCAGUUAAUACUCCAUUCCCUCUCCUGCAUUCUAAACAAGUUUUCCCUUCAUUCAUUCAUUAAGGAGUGAGACAGGACCUCACAGUAUAGAGAUACCAAAGUUAGGAUAGAGAAAUGACUAUGAUUGUAAUGAUGCCACAGAAAAUGUAAGCACAAAGUGCUCUGGGAACUAAAAAAAAUAUUAAUAUAGUUUGGAAGAGUCAAAUAUGCUUGGUAGAGGAGUUGACGAUUAAGUUGUGUACUGAGAGAUGAGGAACAGUUUGCACAUAAAGGAAGAGGAAAGAAGUAGUGCAGAGAAAGGGAAAAGUACACGCAGAGUAUUAGAGUCAUGAAGAACAUGGAAUAACUGAGAAGGCAAUUACUGCUGUGGCAGGAGCAAAGGAUAUGAGGUGUUAGGAUGGGUUUUGCAGUAGAAGGGGAGGCUAAAACACACUUUGAGGCACAUGACAAAAAGCUUUGAAUGUGGCACCACAGAGCUAGAAAGCCGUUGAAUGGUUUUAAGAGACUGACAUAACCAGGUAUAUACUUUAGAAAGCCCAUUCUAAUUCCAAUAUAGAGGGUAUGUUGGAAUAGAGAACCCAGAAGCAGACUAAUGAUUGAGGAAAGAUGAGGGAUCCUGGCUUGAAGGUGAAGAAUGAGGCAGGCUGCAUGGGAACACACUUUCGAAGCCGCCCACCCAGCAAGUGAGGAGAGGAGGCCACGCACCCUAGCCAGCGCUGCGGUCACUUCCGUUUGCUCUUGCCUCAGUAACUCCCCUUCCAGGUGACUUGACUCCAGGGCUUCCCGAAGAGUGAUCAGUUCACUGAGUGAUUCUGACUGUUUGGCUUCCAGGCCCAUCAGCAUCUCCUGACUAAGAUGGGAAAGAGAGGGGUCUAGAGGAACUCUUAGGGAUGGGCCAUAACCCCAAAGGUAACAGGAAUAUAAUCACCUUUGCUAUGCAACAGAAUGAGGAUGGUCUAUAAACACUGAUAAGGAAAGAUUUCUAAGACAUGUCAAGUGAAAAAAAUCAAGGUGCAGAACAGUAUAUACAUGAUACACUACCUUUUAUGCAAGAAAGUGGGGGAAGAAAGAAUAUAUGCCCGUAUUUGCAUGAAGGAGCACUGGCAAGAUAAACAAGAAGUCAGCUAAAAUGGUUGCCUAAAGGGGGAAGGGAAAUGGGAUGGAGAAAGCACAAAUGAGAGUGAGACUUCUCUGUGUAUCUUCUUAGCUCACUGAAGCCUCAAACUCCUGGGGGCUCAUGUGAUCCUCCCAUCUCACCUUGCCAUGGCUACAGGCACAUG
RNAcentral lists this long non-coding RNA (15911 nucleotides) under Homo sapiens (human). RNAcentral describes it as "HSALNT0400790". The stretch from base 13530 to 13646 matches the Rfam family "Metazoan signal recognition particle RNA". The record is from RNAcentral. Lineage: Eukaryota; Metazoa; Chordata; Mammalia; Primates; Hominidae.